Molecule: unclassified non-coding RNA, 2150 nt
Filed under: Hevea brasiliensis (rubber tree)
Lineage: Eukaryota; Viridiplantae; Streptophyta; Magnoliopsida; Malpighiales; Euphorbiaceae
Source: RNAcentral
CCGAUGUCUCUUUAUCUCCCACCAACCCCAGCCAACUCCACGCCUCCAAAUUCUGACAUCAAAUGGCAAUAUUUUGUCCGCAAAUGACAAAUCAAUUACCAAACCACAGAUGCAGUUUCCCUAAUCCUAAUAAAUUAAAUUAAAAGAUCUUAACCGCCCCGCCCGGUUACCGGUUUGGAGGCCCUUUGGUCUAUAAAUAGCCGGUGUCACAAAGGCGUUAACCGUUGAGCCUUCGCAGUACCGCUUGUUUAGGGGGCUGGUUGGAGGGACACAAAGGUCUAUAUUUUACUGUGACUCUACUCUAAGGUACCCUUGGCUAGUCUUCUUCUGUGGCUUCUGUAUGGAUUUUAUGCUUUUUUUUUCUGUUUGCUUCAUUCAUUCUUACUUGGAUUGAGAAUGAGUGUCAUUCUUUCUCAAAAUGCUUCUAUUUUGGUUUCCGCUGUGUUUAUUGCUUUAAGGAACUUUUAUUUGAGUGUCUUUGACUCAAAUGCUUACAGAUCUGGCUGUUUAUAGGUGUUUCAGAUGUCCGUUUUAUGAUCAUAUACGGGUCUGACAUUGGCUUGUGUGACAUUAGAGUUCUUAGUUACUAGUUUUGGGAGAUUUGAAGAUCUAAGUGAAUUUGAAGUCUUAUGCUUGACUUGACGUUGGAGCAAUCUUUGUAAAAGUUAUUCUCAUUAUCACCUGUUUGGAGUUUCACGAUGAAUGCUAGAAGGGGUCUUUUGUGGUGUCUAAUGGCUUGAAUUUACCUGUGUACGAUACAUUUUUUCAGUAGAAUAAUGCAGAUCUGAUGAUAUUUCCAGUUUGAUGGCUCUGUGGUUGUAUUUUCUUUUUUCUUUAUUGGAUGAGAUUAUUUAGAAUAGCAUAUAAUCCUUUUUAUUAUGUCAAUCUGGUAUAGAUCUAGUGGGUGUUCAUUUUGUAUUUAUCAGUUAUGGGACUCGUAAAUUAGUGCUCUCCGGGAUGUAGCUAGAAAUGACUACUUUCCCUUCAAGUAAUUUAGAUGUGUCGGCAGGGGGCCUUAUGUUUUUAAUUAAUUAAUAAUGAAUAACAGGGUAGAAGAGGAGAAUAAAAAAUAUGUAUAAAGCAGGACACCCCCUGAAAGUCACAAAAUGUCAAAAGAUACCUUUUGGUUUUACAGCUAAGAUUUUUCAACAUGCUUGUGGAUUUCAACAUAACAUGUAGUUGAGUUUCCUAAUGGGAGAUCUAUUAUGGAAAUGCUAUAUCCACACCAUGGAGUCCCUUAUUUUAUUAAUCCUAAAAAUGGAUCCCAGAAGUAGAUGUGGGUAUCCAUGUAGUGGAAAUAUAAACAUCCAAUCGAUUAUUGAGUUCUAAAUCUGUUAUGAUUUUCUUAUUCCAGUGGUAAGAGAAUCUAUUAGGUCUUUGUUCCCCCAAUAAUUCGAUAAUUGGUCCUUUGGGAAUGUAGACUUUAAAGAUAUGAAAAAGCAAUUUUCUUACACAGAUUCUUCCCUUUUUUAGCUGUUCUCAUAAAGUUUGAAGAUAUUUAUCUUGAGAAUAUGUUUGCUUUUGUUCUAUUUGCUAUAUUCUUAAGCAUCUAAGCAAGCUUAGAUUUCACGGAGUUGCUUUUUUUCAUCAUUAUUAAGGUGUCUUCUGCCUUUGUGAUAUUCAGCUUUAAGGAAAUGGAGACUUUUCUGUUCACCUCUGAAUCUGUGAAUGAGGGUCACCCUGACAAACUCUGCGACCAGAUCUCUGAUGCGGUGCUAGAUGCCUGUCUUGCACAGGAUCCUGACAGCAAGGUUGCCUGUGAAACAUGCACUAAGACCAAUAUGGUCAUGGUUUUCGGAGAGAUUACUACCAAGGCCGAGGUAGACUAUGAGAAGAUAGUUCGUGACACAUGUCGUUACAUUGGAUUUGUUUCAGAUGAUGUUGGUCUUGAUGCUGACAAAUGCAAGGUCCUAGUUAACAUUGAGCAGCAGAGCCCUGAUAUUGCCCAGGGUGUCCAUGGCCAUCUUACCAAGCGCCCCGAGGAGAUUGGUGCUGGUGACCAAGGUCACAUGUUUGGCUAUGCCACUGAUGAAACCCCCGAGCUUAUGCCCCUCAGCCACGUUCUUGCAACCAAGCUUGGUGCCCGCCUCACUGAAGUUCGUAAGAAUGGUACCUGCCCUUGGUUGAGACCUGAUGGCAAAACCCAAGUC